UAACCGCUCCCAGUGCUCCCAGUAUAAACCAGUAUGAACCAGUAAGGACCAGGGACCACUCCCAGUGUUCCCAGUAUGGCCCAAAAUGGCUCCCAGUAUAAACCAGUACGGCUCCCAGUGCUCCCAGUAUGAACCGGUAUGGCUCCCAGUACAAACCAGUAUGGACCAGUAUGGCUCCCAGUGCUCCCAGUAUGACCCAAACCCCCUCCCAGUACAAACCAGUGCUCCCAGUAUGACCCGAAAUGGCUCCCAGUGCUCCCAGUAUGAACCAGUAUGGCUCCCAGUAUGGACCAGUAUGGCUCCCAGUAUG
This 310-nucleotide long non-coding RNA is filed under the name Junco hyemalis (dark-eyed junco). RNAcentral's name for it is "lncRNA (ENSJHYG00000002716.1)". Lineage: Eukaryota; Metazoa; Chordata; Aves; Passeriformes; Passerellidae. The record is from RNAcentral.